AGAGGCGCCGGGGUUUCUGGGCCGGGCUUCUCAGGACCGGGCUGGAACGUGCAGCUCCUGUCCGGGACACUCUGGGCUUUGCGGGGAAGGGACGUGGCGGAGCCCGAUGACCCGCUGCCGCUCGGGACUGAGCCCGCCACGCAGGCGCCUGUGCCAGCGUCGCCAUUGUUGCCUGUGGCCUUAGGGCCGCUCCGGCUGCCCGUCGGCCGGGUCCCAGCGACAGGUAUUGAUGUCCGGGCGCAGCGCGCGAGUGUCCGCGCGAUCAGUGACAGCCCGAGCCCGUCCACGCGCGGGCUCCCGUGCUCGUGGCCUGGGGAGGGCAAAGACGGGGUGGAGGCUGCUGUGGGCCCAGUCCCAGCGUUGCGCGUCGCACGGUCCCCGACUCCCCCGCUGCCCUCGCCCUCGACCCUGCGGCUGAAGAGGAGUAAGAGGCAGAGGAACUUGGCCGGGAAGGGGAGGCGACAGGAGGCAAGGGUCUCUUAUCCAUCCCUGCAAGUUCUGGGCUCAGAAUUUGUCACUAAGGCUGCUAACUCUACCUUGAUUCUGUUCUGCCCUCGGCUGCAGCAGCCUUUGAUAUAG
RNAcentral lists this small RNA (579 nucleotides) under Pongo abelii (Sumatran orangutan). Its description in RNAcentral is "processed transcript". The record is from RNAcentral. Lineage: Eukaryota; Metazoa; Chordata; Mammalia; Primates; Hominidae.